Molecule: long non-coding RNA, 373 nt
Organism: Panthera uncia (snow leopard)
Lineage: Eukaryota; Metazoa; Chordata; Mammalia; Carnivora; Felidae
Exons: 2
Source: RefSeq, a predicted model, not a curated record
UAACCCUACAAUCAAGAAAAGAAGGUCUCUCUUCUGCUUCUGCCAGGUUUCACCCACAUGGCCUUUCCCCUGAGGUCUCCCCUGCCCAUCCUUCUAUAGUCAAGAAACCACGCCUCAUGGGUCCUCACUCGAACAUGAGAGAGCAGCGCCAAACCAAGCAGGGCACAGCUUAGGUUGCCUGAAAAAAAGAGAAGUUACUCGGCAGACAUCACCUCUGACCCAGAAGAGAAACUGACCCUCAUGGACAAAGAUACCAUGAUCUUCGGCCGCACCUGGUAACUUGGAAAUUGAAUGAGACCCAAGCACAUCACAACUGCCAAGCAAAGAAACCAGCAAACAAACAACCAGUAAAAUAAAUGUGAUAUAAAAGGCA